UACGUAGGGUCCGAGCGUGUCCGGAAUUAUUGGGCGUAAAGAGCUUGUAGGCGGUUUGUCGCGUCUGCCGUGAAAAUUCGAGGCUCAACCUCGAACUUGCGGUGGGUACGGGCAGACUAGAGUGUGGUAGGGGAGACUGGAAUUCCUGGUGUAGCGGUGGAAUGCGCAGAUAUCAGGAGGAACACCGAUGGCGAAGGCGGGUCUCUGGGCAGUAACUGACGCUGAGGAGCGAAAGCGUGGGGAGCGAACAGG
This 252-nucleotide ribosomal RNA is filed under the name uncultured bacterium. Its description in RNAcentral is "partial 16S ribosomal RNA". It matches the Rfam family "Bacterial small subunit ribosomal RNA", at positions 524 to 776 of the family's 1533-position model. The record is from RNAcentral.